CAGUAGCCGCGGGAAUACGAAGGGGGCUAGCGUUGUUCGGAUUUACUGGGCGUAAAGGGCGCGUAGGCGGGCUGAUAAGUCGGGGGUGAAAUCCCAAGGCUCAACCUCGGAGCUGCCUUUGAUACUGUUGGUCUUGAGUCCGGGAGAGGUGAGUGGAACUGCGAGUGUAGAGGUGAAAUUCGUAGAUAUUCGCAAGAACACCAGUGGCGAAGGCGGCUCACUGGCCCGGAACUGACGCUUAGGCGCGAAAGCGUGGGGAGCAAACAGGAUUAGAUACCCCCGUAGUCCCUGUCUCUUAUAC
This 301-nucleotide ribosomal RNA is filed under the name uncultured bacterium. RNAcentral's name for it is "partial 16S ribosomal RNA". It matches the Rfam family "Bacterial small subunit ribosomal RNA", at positions 509 to 807 of the family's 1533-position model. The record is from RNAcentral.